This 879-nucleotide ribosomal RNA is filed under the name uncultured bacterium. Its description in RNAcentral is "bacterial SSU rRNA". It matches the Rfam family "Bacterial small subunit ribosomal RNA", at positions 56 to 917 of the family's 1533-position model. The record is from RNAcentral.
UGCAGUCGACGCGANGGGGAGCAAUCCCUGAGUAGAGUGGCAAACGGGUGAGUAACACGUGGGUGACCUGCCUUCGAGUGGGGGAUAACGUCCCGAAAGGGACGCUAAUACCGCAUGAUAUCCUGCUCUUGGAUGAGUGGAGAUCAAAGCUGGGGAUCGCAAGACCUGGCGCUUGAAGAGGGGCCCGCGCCUGAUUAGCUAGUUGGUAGGGUAACGGCUUACCAAGGCAACGAUCAGUAUCCGGCCUGAGAGGGCGGACGGACACACUGGGACUGAGACACGGCCCAGACUCCUACGGGAGGCAGCAGUGGGGAAUUGUUCGCAAUGGGCGAAAGCCUGACGACGCAACGCCGCGUGGAGGACGAAGAUCUUCGGGUCGUAAACUCCUGUCGAGUGGGAAGAAUGGAUCGGGGAUGAAUAUGCCCCGGUAUUGACGGUACCACUAAAGGAAGCCCCGGCUAACUCCGUGCCAGCAGCCGCGGUAGUACGGGGGGGGCAAGCGUUGUUCGGAAUUACUGGGCGUAAAGGGCUCGUAGGCGGCCAACUAAGUCGGACGUGAAAUCCCCAGGCUCAACCUGGGAACUGCGUCCGAUACUGGAUGGCUUGAAUUCGGGAGAGGGAUGCAGAAUUCCAGGUGUAGCGGUGAAAUGCGUAGAUAUCUGGAGGAAUACCGGUGGCGAAGGCGGCAUCCUGGACCGACAUUGACGCUGANGAGCGAAAGCUAGGGGAGCAAACGGGAUUAGAUACCCCGGUAGUCCUAGCCCUAAACGAUGAAUGCUUGGNGUGGCGGGUAUCGAUCCCUGCCGUGCCGAAGCUAACGCAUUAAGCAUUCCGCCUGGGGAGUACGGUCGCAAGGCUGANCUCAAAGGAAUUGACGGA